This is a non-coding RNA of Macaca mulatta (Rhesus monkey), 818 nucleotides long. The record is from RefSeq and is a predicted model, not a curated record. Lineage: Eukaryota; Metazoa; Chordata; Mammalia; Primates; Cercopithecidae.
ACGUCUCCCUGGACACGGGGAUGGUUUCACAAAGGGAUUGGAGUCACUGAGAGGUAAGGAGAAGUCUGCUGGCAGCUUCUGGGACAUUACACCCUGGUGCUGAAGAGAUCGCUGCUGGAAAAGGCUGUCUUCCUGGCGAUGUUGUCAGCAAAUGGAAACCUAACAGAGACACUAUAAAGGCUACCAUUCCAAUGCUUUUGGAAUUAGUGCUGGGAGAACCCGAACAGAGCCCUUCUCCUCUCCCGUCUUCGACAGUCGGGGGGCGGGCCGACCCAGCACGCAGGAGGCCUGCACCGCACAGCCUUCUUGCUGAACCAGGCAGCAGCUGCACCCCAUGGGGCUCCCUCCCACGUAAGCCAACGUAGGAAAAGACGCUGCAAAUCAAAGAUGACCACCCUGGAGAAGCAGGAGAAACCCCCCAACUUGAAUGAAUGUAUCAACAUUUGAGAAAAUGUAGGAGGUGGAUGUUACUCUUUAAUCUGCUCAGCAUCCUUCCCCUACCCCUUUUGAUAAUUGGCCUCAUCCAGUGGACACAGUUCUUGGAAUGAGAUCCAGGCUAGGCCAAUCAAUCUCUCCCUGAAGUGUUUCCUUGAAGCUGCAAGAGAGGAACUCUGUCCCCUCUUGGAUUACAGAGCUGGAAGGAGAUGAAUUUGAUGCUACUAGUGUCAUGUUUCUAACCAAGGGAGAUGGGGCCUAGUAAGGCUUAAUGGUCUUCGUUUAUUUUCCGUCAGAUCUUUUAAGCUUCCCCCAUGGUGACCAGCCCCAGAGUAAUGCACAUUUAAUUCAACUUCUAAUGCAGGAAAAUCAAUUGCAUUGCA